UGAAGGAUAGUGUAAAUACAACCUUAGCACAUAUAAAUUUGGGUUAUAAAGAGGAAUGAACCAUUCCGCCUUCAA
Molecule: transfer RNA, 75 nt
Filed under: Quadrula quadrula (mapleleaf mussel)
Lineage: Eukaryota; Metazoa; Mollusca; Bivalvia; Unionida; Unionidae
Description: tRNA-Gln
Source: RNAcentral